This 82-nucleotide transfer RNA is filed under the name Maioricimonas rarisocia. It matches the Rfam family "tRNA". From Rfam's summary of the family: Transfer RNA (tRNA) molecules are approximately 80 nucleotides in length. Their secondary structure includes four short double-helical elements and three loops (D, anti-codon, and T loops). Lineage: Bacteria; Pseudomonadati; Planctomycetota; Planctomycetia; Planctomycetales; Planctomycetaceae. The record is from Rfam by way of RNAcentral. RNAcentral also lists the same sequence under 2 other names.
GGGGGUGUACCUAAGCGGCCAAAAGGGCCAGACUGUAAAUCUGGUGGCUCAGCCUUCACAGGUUCGAAUCCUGUCGCCCCCA